GGCGGCCCCCUGGACAAAGAGUGACUAUCAGGCGAGAAAGCGUGAGGAGCAAACAGGAAUUAGAUACCCUUUUCGUCCACACCCCAAACGAUGUCGAGUUGAGAGGUUGUGCCCUUGAGGCGUGGCUUCCGGAGCUAACGCGUUAAGUCGACCCCCUGGGGAGUACGGCCGCAAGGUUAAAACUCAAAUGAAUUGACGGGGGCCCGCACCAGCGGUGGAGCAUGUGAUUUAAUUAUGAUGCAACGCGAAGAACCUUACCUACUCUUGACAUCCAGAGAAGUUAGCAGAGAUGGUUUGGUGCCUUCGCGAACUCUGAGACAGGUGCGUGCAUGGAUUGUCGUCAGUCUCGUGUUGUGAAAUGUUGGGUUAAGUCAGGCAAUCGAGCGCAACCAUUAUCCUUUGUUGCUAGCGGUCCGGCCGGGAACUCAAAGGAGACUGCCAGUGAUAAACUGGAGGAAGGUGGGGAUGAUCGUCAAGUCAUCAUGGCCCCUUCGAGUAGGGCUACACACGUGUUACAAUGGCGGAUACAAAGAGAAGCGACCUCGCGAGAGCAAGCGGACUUCAUAAAAUAUGUCGUAGUCCGGAUUGGAGUCUGCAACUCGACUACCAGGAAGUACGGAAUUGUCUAGUAAUCGUGGAUCAGAAUGACCACCGGCGAAUAACGUUCUCCGGGCCUUGUACAUACCGCCC
Molecule: ribosomal RNA, 690 nt
Filed under: Citrobacter murliniae
Lineage: Bacteria; Pseudomonadati; Pseudomonadota; Gammaproteobacteria; Enterobacterales; Enterobacteriaceae
Description: bacterial SSU rRNA
Rfam family: Bacterial small subunit ribosomal RNA
Source: RNAcentral